CCUACGGGCGGCAGCAGUGGGGAAUAUUGCACCAUGGGGGGAACCCUGAUGCAGCGACGCCGCGUGAGUGAAGCAGUAUCUCGGUACGUAAAGCUCUAUCAGCAGGGAAGAAAAUGACGGUACCUGACUAAGAAGCCCCGGCUAACUACGUGCCAGCAGCCGCGGUCAUACGGAGGGGGCAAGCGUUAUCCGGAUUUACUGGGUGUAAAGGGAGCGUAGACGGCACUGCAAGUCCGGAGUGAAAGCCCAAGGCUUAACCAUGGGACUGCUCUGGAAACUGUGUAGCUUGAGUGCGGGAGGGGCAGGCGGAAUUCCUGGUGUAGCGGUGAAAUGCGUAGAUAUUAGGAGGAACACCGGCGGCGAAGGCGGCCUGCUGGACCGUAACUGACGUUGAGGCUCGAAAGCGUGGGGAGCAAACAGGAUUAGAUACCCUUGUAGUC
RNAcentral lists this ribosomal RNA (440 nucleotides) under uncultured bacterium. Its description in RNAcentral is "partial 16S ribosomal RNA". It matches the Rfam family "Bacterial small subunit ribosomal RNA", at positions 338 to 795 of the family's 1533-position model. The record is from RNAcentral.